RNAcentral lists this long non-coding RNA (554 nucleotides) under Populus tremula. RNAcentral's name for it is "long non-coding RNA (PTRE_LNC000320)". The record is from RNAcentral. Lineage: Eukaryota; Viridiplantae; Streptophyta; Magnoliopsida; Malpighiales; Salicaceae.
UUUUAUUAUAGCAUUGGAUUCUAAUUAACACACACACAUAUAUAAGAACUUCCAGUUAGGGUUGCUGUUCCAAAGCUAUAAACACGAACGAGGAGGAUAAAGACCGUCCAGGCUUGCGACGGAGGAAGCAGUCCAUAAGAAUGUCUUCUGCGCACCAGCUAGCGAACCCUGCAUGCUAAGAGGAUGCCAAGACUAGAGGGUCAAUUAAUGCAAUUAGAGAGACCUGAAUCCCUUCUUUGUCUGGCAACCACGGCGGCAAAUCAUUCUUGGCUUUCUUCUUCCUCUUGCUUGUGGCUUGAACGGAGGGAAGAGACGGCGAAUGAAUCCGUGGUUGGCUUCUUCCGUCUGCCAACGCUUUGCUUGCAUUAUUGCUCUCCUUCUCUCACUUUUUUUCUUUUUCCUGUAGAAGCAGUUUGUGGAUAUAUUUUAGUCUUAUUAGCUCUGUAGUUUAGCAUAGAAACCGUCUUGUUUGACGAUUUCCGUUGGAUCUCUUGCAAUUCAACAUGGCAUUGUUUAUUUCAUUUGCUCGAGGUUUUCCGACCACAAUCGAUCCC